AGUGAACGCUGGCGGUAGGCCUAACACAUGCAAGUCGAACGGCAGCACAGUAAGAUCUUGCUCUUACGGGUGGCGAGUGGCGGACGGGUGAUGAAUACAUCGGAAUCUACUUUUUCGUGGGGGAUAACGUAGGGAAACUUACUCUAAUACCGCAUACGACCUACGGGUGAAAGCAUGGGAUCUUCGGACCUUGCUCGAUUGAAUUAGCCGAUGUCGGAUUAGCUAGUUGGCGGGGUAAAUGCCCACCAAGGCGACGAUCCGUAGCUGGUCUGAGAGGAUGAUCAGCCAAACUGGAACUGAGACACGGUCAAGACUCCUACGGGAGGCAGCAGUGGGGAAUAUUGGACAAUGGGCGCAAGCCUGAUCCAGCAAUACCGCGUGGGUGAAGAAGGCCUUCGGGUUGUAAAGCCCUUUUGUUGGGAAAGAAAAGAAGCAGGUUAAUACCCCGCUGUUCUGACGGUACCCAAAGAAUAAGCACCGGCUAACUUCGUG
RNAcentral lists this ribosomal RNA (492 nucleotides) under uncultured bacterium. RNAcentral describes it as "partial 16S ribosomal RNA". It matches the Rfam family "Bacterial small subunit ribosomal RNA", at positions 29 to 507 of the family's 1533-position model. The record is from RNAcentral.